GCCGGUGAUGAUCUGUAUUGGUUACUGAACAGGCACAUUGAUUGUGUGCAUCUGUUGAUAUCUUUGCACUUGACUAGGACGGUCUGAGGC
Small nucleolar RNA from Lolium rigidum, 90 nucleotides. RefSeq annotates it as small nucleolar RNA snoR20a. NCBI's taxonomy places the organism in Eukaryota, Viridiplantae, Streptophyta, Magnoliopsida, Poales, Poaceae. The transcript has a single exon. The record is from RefSeq and is a predicted model, not a curated record.